Molecule: transfer RNA, 87 nt
Filed under: Butyrivibrio sp. Su6
Lineage: Bacteria; Bacillati; Bacillota; Clostridia; Lachnospirales; Lachnospiraceae
Description: tRNA_Tyr_GTA
Rfam family: tRNA
About the family: Transfer RNA (tRNA) molecules are approximately 80 nucleotides in length. Their secondary structure includes four short double-helical elements and three loops (D, anti-codon, and T loops).
Source: RNAcentral
GGGUAGGUAUGCCUAGUGGCGAAGGCAGGGGUCUGUAAAACCCUGACAACAGAAACACCGUGAGUUCGAGUCUCACCCUGCCCACUA